This 814-nucleotide long non-coding RNA is filed under the name Astyanax mexicanus (Mexican tetra). RNAcentral describes it as "lncRNA (ENSAMXG00005024714.1)". Lineage: Eukaryota; Metazoa; Chordata; Actinopteri; Characiformes; Acestrorhamphidae. The record is from RNAcentral.
GUUAAACCACAAUUUCCCUCCAGUUGGGAAAGAAACUGGCAAUGUUUUUAAAACACGCACCCUCCAAACUAGCCGUCUGCGCCACGAAAAAAUGUUUAAAGUGAGCUAAGUCCAUGUUUAGUAUAACUUGUCUUUGCGAGGAGGAGAAAUAGAUUUUUUUUUCCUUCUCUUUUCCUUCAGCUUCAGGCUGGAGUCUGGAGUCUGCACUCAGCACAGCCACGGUCAAAGGUGGAAUUAGCAAAGAGAAAGUGUCUGCCUUGUUUUUAAAGGGGAGAGAGAGACAAGGUGAUAUCCUCAGAUGAGGUUUCCCUGAGAAACAGACGAUCUCGUGGACAGGUGGUCUCUCUCCUGCAAGAGGAUGCAGAUUGCAGAUGCAGGCUAGAAGCUGUCAAAGCCGGAGGCGCUGAAGCGAAGUCUGCCCUAAUAGCUGCACACGUGAAAUUGACUGUGGUCUGACCACGACAGUCUGCUGAUGUGGUUUGUGAGAAAACGAGAGAGCAGGGGGUGGCGCGGGGGGGAUUGGGCGGGUAGAAAAAGCAACAAAAAGCAAACAUGUGAAUGAUAAUUGCUGUAAACAGCUUUGGGCCUAACUGUGGGUCAGCGUGCAAAACUGCGCGGGUGGGGUAAUUAAGAGCGGUGCUAAAUAAGUAAACAGGUGCAUAAAUGGAUUUGUUUUAAGACACGAGCCGUAUGAUCGAUAUGGUCUUGCGUUACUGUACGGCUAAUCAUCGAUGGCGCUUUGCGAUGAAGAAUUGAUCCCCCAACUCACAGAGCCGGAUCGGCGCGGCGGGGCUGCUGUUUGUUUAGUCAACUC